RNAcentral lists this unclassified non-coding RNA (256 nucleotides) under uncultured Mortierella. RNAcentral describes it as "partial internal transcribed spacer 2". The record is from RNAcentral. Lineage: Eukaryota; Fungi; Mortierellomycota; Mortierellomycetes; Mortierellales; Mortierellaceae.
AACACCUCAAGUCGAGAGAUUUUUUUCUUGAGACUUGGAUUUGAGUGAUCCUAAUAACGAGUCCCUUUAAAAAAGGACAAGUAGGCAGGUUACUUGAAAUUCAGGUGCAGCUGAACUUUUCUUCUGAGCUAAAAGCAUUAUUUAUUUAGUCUUUAUUGACUAUUACUUUUUUUGCUGCAGCUAAUAUAAAGGAAGAGAAGCUUCAUUAUGGCUGACUGAUGCAGGAAUUUAUCAGUCUGGUAAAAAGGACUGUUAG